Molecule: small RNA, 364 nt
Filed under: Pan troglodytes (chimpanzee)
Lineage: Eukaryota; Metazoa; Chordata; Mammalia; Primates; Hominidae
Description: processed transcript
Source: RNAcentral
CAUUUUGGUUAAUGUUGGGUGUGUUUCUGCGGUUUGUGAGGUCACCUCAUCCUAACCCGAGUCCUGAAGCAGCGAGAGAGCGGCGACUGUUCACAGGUCUGCAGCCCGGACCCGGCGUCGGGACACUGAGGCGUUCGCGGGAGAGGUCCUUGUUUCUGACACCUGUGGGAUGCGGUGGGGAGAGCGACAGGCACAGGGACCGGCGCGGGCUAUGGCCUGGAGAAGGACAGACCCGGGAGGAUGGAACCUGGGGUCCACAGGCGCCUGUAGGGAACAACGUGUGAGGCGAAGCUUCUCCUGGAAGAGCAGGCUGGGGGCUGUGUAUUCGCUGUGAAGACGCUAGAAGCCAUGGAGAGUUUCGAAG